AACGAACGCUGGCGGCAUGCCUAACACAUGCAAGUCGAACGGGAUCCUAGCUUGCUAGGUGAGAGUGGCGGACGGGUGAGUAACACGUGGGAAUCUGCCUUUUGGUUCGGGAUAACCGCGGGAAACUGCGGCUAAUACCGAAUGCCCUCGAGAGAGGAAAGAUUUAUCGCCAGAAGAGGAGCCCGCGUCCGAUUAGGUAGUUGGUGGGGUAAAGGCCUACCAAGCCGACGAUCGGUAGCUGGUCUGAGAGGAUGAUCAGCCACACUGGGACUGAGAUACGGCCCAGACUCCUACGGGAGGCAGCAGUGGGAAUAUUGGACAAUGGGGGCGAACCCUACGAUCCAGCAAUGCCGCCGUGAGUGAUGAAGG
Molecule: ribosomal RNA, 369 nt
Filed under: uncultured bacterium
Lineage: Bacteria
Description: bacterial SSU rRNA
Rfam family: Bacterial small subunit ribosomal RNA
Source: RNAcentral